GACGAACGCUGGCGGCGUGCUUAACACAUGCAAGUCGAACGGAAAGGCCCUGCUUUUGUGGGGUGCUCGAGUGGCGAACGGGUGAGUAACACGUGAGUAACCUGCCCUUGACUUUGGGAUAACUUCAGGAAACUGGGGCUAAUACCGGAUAGGAGCUCCUGCUGCAUGGUGGGGGUUGGAAAGUUUCGGCGGUUGGGGAUGGACUCGCGGCUUAUCAGCUUGUUGGUGGGGUAGUGGCUUACCAAGGCUUUGACGGGUAGCCGGCCUGAGAGGGUGACCGGCCACAUUGGAACGGAGGUAGGCCCAGACUCCUACGGGAGGCAGCAGUGGGGAAUAUUGCACAAUGGGCGGAAGCCUGAUGCAGCAACGCCGCGUGCGGGAUGACGGCCUUCGGGUUGUAAACCGCUUUCGCCUGUGACGAAGCGUGAGUGACGGUAAUGGGUAAAGAAGCACCGGCUAACUACGUG
Molecule: ribosomal RNA, 467 nt
Filed under: uncultured bacterium
Lineage: Bacteria
Description: partial 16S ribosomal RNA
Rfam family: Bacterial small subunit ribosomal RNA
Source: RNAcentral